RNAcentral lists this non-coding RNA (24 nucleotides) under Arabidopsis thaliana (thale cress). The record is from RNAcentral. Lineage: Eukaryota; Viridiplantae; Streptophyta; Magnoliopsida; Brassicales; Brassicaceae.
GGUGUUGGCUAAGAUCCCAGAGGA